UAUCAUUAACUGAAUCCAUAGGUUAAUGAGGCGAACCGGGGGAACUGAAACAUCUAAGUACCCCGAGGAAAAGAAAUCAACCGAGAUUCCCCCAGUAGCGGCGAGCGAACGGGGAGGAGCCCAGAGCCUGAAUCAGCAUGUGUGUUAGUGGAAGCGUCUGGAAAGGCGCGCGAUACAGGGUGACAGCCCCGUACACAAAAGCGCAUGUGCUGUGAGCUCGAUGAGUAGGGCGGGACACGUGGUAUCCUGUCUGAAUAUGGGGGGACCAUCCUCCAAGGCUAAAUACUCCUGACUGACCGAUAGUGAACCAGUACCGUGAGGGAAAGGCGAAAAGAACCCCGGCGAGGGGAGUGAAAAAGAACCUGAAACCGUGUACGUACAAGCAGUGGGAGCCCCACCACCAAAGCAUUUGCUGUACCGCGUUGACGGAGCGAAGCGACGUCAAACCGAUAAAACAGCAGUGUAAAGUGAGCCGCAGGGCGCUUUGCGCGACAGCGCAAAGGCAGGCGGUUUCGCGUAGCGAAAGCGAAUGCUUUGGGGUGG
This 543-nucleotide ribosomal RNA is filed under the name Salmonella enterica subsp. enterica serovar Enteritidis. Its description in RNAcentral is "partial 23S ribosomal RNA". The stretch from base 1 to 378 matches the Rfam family "Bacterial large subunit ribosomal RNA", at positions 149 to 565 of the family's 2925-position model. Lineage: Bacteria; Pseudomonadati; Pseudomonadota; Gammaproteobacteria; Enterobacterales; Enterobacteriaceae. The record is from RNAcentral.